This 501-nucleotide ribosomal RNA is filed under the name uncultured bacterium. RNAcentral's name for it is "partial 16S ribosomal RNA". It matches the Rfam family "Bacterial small subunit ribosomal RNA", at positions 30 to 523 of the family's 1533-position model. The record is from RNAcentral.
AUUGAACGCUGGCGGCAGGCUUAACACAUGCAAGUCGAGCGGGGGAAGGUAGCUUGCUACUGGACCUAGCGGCGGACGGGUGAGUAAUGCUUAGGAAUCUGCCUAUUAGUGGGGGACAACAUAUCGAAAGGGAUGCUAAUACCGCAUACGUCCUACGGGAGAAAGCAGGGGAUCUUUGGACCUUGCGCUAAUAGCUGAGCCUAAGUCGGAGUAGCUAGUUGGUGGGGUAAAGGCCUACAAAGGCGACGAUCUGUAGCGGGUCUGAGAGGAUGAUCCGCCACACUGGGACUGAGACACGGCCCAGACUCCUACGGGAGGCAGCAGUGGGGAAUAUUGGACAAUGGGGGGAACCCUGAUCCAGCCAUGCCGCGUGUAUGAAGAAGGCCUUAUGGUUGUAAAGCACCUUAAGUGAGGAGGAGGCUACUCUAGUUAAUACCUAGGGAUAGUGGACGUUACUCGCAGCAUAAGCACCGGCUAACUCUGUGCCAGCAGCCGCCGUAA